This 485-nucleotide ribosomal RNA is filed under the name uncultured bacterium. Its description in RNAcentral is "partial 16S ribosomal RNA". It matches the Rfam family "Bacterial small subunit ribosomal RNA", at positions 29 to 523 of the family's 1533-position model. The record is from RNAcentral.
AGUGAACGCUGGCGGCGUGCUUAACACAUGCAAGUCGAACGAGAACGGAAUAUAGCUUGCUAUAUUUGUCAGCUAAGUGGCGCGCGGGUGAGUAAUGUAUAGAUAACCUGCCCUUAAGAAAGGAAUAACAGUUGGAAACGACUGCUAAUGCCCUAUAUGCCUUUAAUACAUAAGUAUGCAAGUGAAAGGCUUUAGUGCUUAAGGAUGGGUCUGUAUGGUAUCAGCUUGUUGGUGAGGUAAUGGCUCACCAAGGCUAUGACGCCUAACUGGUUUGAGAGGAUGAUCAGUCACACUGGAACUGAGACACGGUCCAGACUCCUACGGGAGGCAGCAGUGGGGAAUAUUGCACAAUGGACGAAAGUCUGAUGCAGCAACGCCGCGUGGAGGAUGACACAUUUCGGUGCGUAAACUCCUUUUAUAUAGGAAGAUAAUGACGGUACUAUAUGAAUAAGCACCGGCUAACUCCGUGCCAGCAGCCGCCGUAA